RNAcentral lists this ribosomal RNA (640 nucleotides) under Hypholoma fasciculare. Its description in RNAcentral is "eukaryotic LSU rRNA". It matches the Rfam family "Eukaryotic large subunit ribosomal RNA", at positions 1 to 625 of the family's 3401-position model. The record is from RNAcentral. Lineage: Eukaryota; Fungi; Basidiomycota; Agaricomycetes; Agaricales; Strophariaceae.
UGACCUCAAAUCAGGUAGGACUACCCGCUGAACUUAAGCAUAUCAAUAAGCGGAGGAAAAGAAACUAACAAGGAUUCCCCUAGUAACUGCGAGUGAAGCGGGAAAAGCUCAAAUUUAAAAUCUGGCAGUCUUUGGCUGUCCGAGUUGUAAUCUAGAGAAGUGUUAUCCGCGCUGGACCGUGUACAAGUCUCCUGGAAUGGAGCGUCAUAGAGGGUGAGAAUCCCGUCUUUGACACGGACUGCCAGGGCUUUGUGAUGCGCUCUCAAAGAGUCGAGUUGUUUGGGAAUGCAGCUCAAAAUGGGUGGUAAAUUCCAUCUAAAGCUAAAUAUUGGCGAGAGACCGAUAGCGAACAAGUACCGUGAGGGAAAGAUGAAAAGAACUUUGGAAAGAGAGUUAAACAGUACGUGAAAUUGCUGAAAGGGAAACGCUUGAAGUCAGUCGCAUUGUGUGGGAAUCAACCUUGCUUUUGCUGGGCGUAUUUUCCAUAUGAUGGGUCAGCAUCAAUUUCGACCGUUGGAUAAAGUUCAAGGGAAUGUGGCAUCUUCGGAUGUGUUAUAGCCCUUGGUUGUAUACAACGAUUGGGAUUGAGGAACUCAGCACGCCGCAAGGCCGGGUCUCGUACCACGUUCGUGCUAGGAUG